Molecule: ribosomal RNA, 1399 nt
Filed under: uncultured prokaryote
Description: partial 16S ribosomal RNA
Rfam family: Bacterial small subunit ribosomal RNA
Source: RNAcentral
CUGGCUCACAACGAACGUUUGAGGCGUGGCUAAGACAUGCAAGUCGAACGAACAAUUAUUUGUUAGUGGCGGAUGGAUGAGUAAUGCAUAGAUAACGUACCCCGAUCUUUGGAAUAGCCGCGGGAAACCGCGGGUAAUACCGAAUAAUGUCCUUCGGGACCAAAGCUCCGGCGGAUUGGGAGCGGUCUAUGUCGUAUCAGCUAGUUGGUGAGGUAACGGCUCACCAAGGCGACGACGCGUAGCGGGACUGAGAGGUUGGCCCGCCAUAUCGGGACUGAGACACUGCCCGGACCUCCACGGAGGGCUGCAGUAACGGAUAUUGCGCAAUGGGCGAAAGCCUGACGCAGCGACGCCGCGUGUAGGACGAAACCCCUCGGGGUGUAAACUACUGUCAGGGGGACGAAAGAUCUGAUCGAUCCCAAAGGAAGGCCCGGCUAACUUCGUGCCAGCAGCCGCGGUAAUACGAAGGGGCCAAGCGUUGUUCGGAAUCACUGGGCUUAAAGCGCAUGUAGGCGGACUACCCAGUGUCUUGUGAAAUCCCUCGGCUUAACCGAGGAACUGCAGGGCAUACUGGUAGUCUUGAGACAAGUAGGGGUGCAUGGAACUCUGGGUGGAGCGGUGAAAUGCGUAGAUAUCCAGAGGAACGCCAGCGGAGAAAUCGGUGCACUGGGCUUGUUCUGACGCUGAGAUGCGAAAGCGUGGGGAGCGAACAGGAUUAGAUACCCUGGUAGUCCACGCUGUAAACGAUGUAUACUAGGUUGUGGUAGAUCUGACUCUAUCGCAGCCGGAGCAAAAAUAUUAAAUGUACCGCCUGGGGAGUACGGUCGCAAGGCUAAAACUCAAAGGAAUUGACGGGGGCUCACACAAGCGGUGGAGCAUGUGGCUUAAUUCGAAGCAACGCGAAGAACCUUAUCCUGGGUUUGACAUACUUGGAUGCCCUUCCUGAAAGGGAAGUAAGCUGCCUUCGGGUGAAACUAGUACAGGUGCUGCAUGGCUGUCGUCAGCUCGUGUCGUGAGAUGUUGGGUUAAGUCCUUAAACGAGCGAAACCCUUGUCGUUAGUUGCCAGCGCGUUAUGGCGGGGACUCUAACGAGACUGCCGGUGUUAAACCGGAGGAAGGCGGGGAUGACGUCAAGUCCUCAUGGCCUUUAUGCCCAGGGCUGCACACGUGCUACAAUGGUGCGGACAAACCGACGCGAGACCGUGAGGUGGAGCAAAUCGGAAAAACCGUGCCUCAGUUCGGAUUGCAGGCUGCAACUCGCCUGCAUGAAGUCGGAAUCGCUAGUAAUCGCAGAUCAGCUAUGCUGCGGUGAAUGUGUUCCUGAGCCUUGUACACACCGCCCGUCAAGUCACGGAAGCCGGGAGUACCUGAAGUCGGGUAGCUAACUUCGGAGGCGCCU